CGGAGGAAAAGAAACUAACAAGGAUUCCCCUAGUAACUGCGAGUGAAGCGGGAAAAGCUCAAAUUUAAAAUCUGGCGGUCUUAUGGCUGUCCGAGUUGUAAUCUAGAGAAGUGUUAUCCGCGCUGGACCGUGUACAAGUCUCCUGGAAUGGAGCAUCAUAGAGGGUGAGAAUCCCGUCUUUGACAUGGACUGCCAGGGCUUUGUGAUGCGCUCUCAAAGAGUCGAGUUGUUUGGGAAUGCAGCUCAAAAUGGGUGGUAAAUUCCAUCUAAAGCUAAAUAUUGGCGAGAGACCGAUAGCGAACAAGUACCGUGAGGGAAAGAUGAAAAGAACUUUGGAAAGAGAGUUAAACAGUACGUGAAAUUGCUGAAAGGGAAACGCUUGAAGUCASUCAUGUCAUCCAGGGAUCAACCUUGCUUUUGCUUGGUGCACUUUCUGGUUUGACGGGUCAGCAUCAAUUUUGACCAUUGGAAAAAGGUUGAGGGAAUGUGGCAUCUUUGGAUGUGUUAUAGCCCUUGGUCGUAUACAAUGGUUGGUAUUGAGGAACUCAGCACGCCGCAAGGCCGGGUUUUUAACCACGUACGUGCUUAGGAUGCUGGCAAUAUGGCUUUAAUCGACCCGUCUUGAAACACGGACCAAGGAGUCUAACAUGCCUGCGAGUGUUUGGGUGGAAAACCCGAGCGCGUAAUGAAAGUGAAAGGUUGAGAUCCCUGUCGUGGGGAGCAUCGACGCCCGGACCAGACCUUUUGUGACGGUUCCGCGGUAGAGCAUGUAUGUUGGGACCCGAAAGAUGGUGAACUAUGCCUGAAUAGGGUGAAUCCAGAGGAAACUCUGGUGGAGGCUCGUAGCGAUUCUGACGUGCAAAUCGAUCGUCAAAUUUGGGUAUAGGGGCGAAAGACUAAUCGA
Molecule: ribosomal RNA, 904 nt
Filed under: Cortinarius laniger
Lineage: Eukaryota; Fungi; Basidiomycota; Agaricomycetes; Agaricales; Cortinariaceae
Description: eukaryotic LSU rRNA
Rfam family: Eukaryotic large subunit ribosomal RNA
Source: RNAcentral